This 417-nucleotide transfer-messenger RNA is filed under the name Candidatus Daviesbacteria bacterium RIFCSPHIGHO2_01_FULL_44_29. It matches the Rfam family "transfer-messenger RNA". Rfam says of the family: Bacterial tmRNA, also known as 10Sa RNA or SsrA, is named for its dual tRNA and mRNA-like properties. Lineage: Bacteria; Candidatus Daviesiibacteriota. The record is from RNAcentral. RNAcentral also lists the same sequence under 2 other names.
GGGGACGAAAGUUUCGAUGAGGUAGUACUUUGAAAACUGCAAGCCGCUAAGGAAACAUAUAGCGUAAAAGGGUGUUUCAAAAUUAAACGGCAAAAAUUCUGUCGUUGCUUUCGCAGAAAAGUUCGCGAAAACUGUUGAAGGUAUGACCUUUGUUGGUCUUACUAACCGCAGUUACGCACUAGCUGCUUAAUGCUACUUUAGGACAUCUUCUUCUCGAUGGGAUGCUUAAGGUAUAUACACAGUCGAGAUGCUUUUCUUUAGGUGUUGGUUGAUCCUAAAAGAGAUUAAGAUAACUCAAUCAGAUAGUAGUUUUCCUGCUAGUUGGUUACAACUACUAUCCAAACAUUAACUAGCUACGCUUGUAGACGUUUUUAGAUUAAUAUUUCAGACCCGAGAUCAAACUCGGCGUCUCCACUA